UUUUGUCUUGUAGUGGCUUCAUAAUCUAAUGACGUUAAAUGACUACAUGAAUGAAUCUUUGAGCAGUCUGGAGCCGAUGUGACCCUGAGGAGUGUUUUCGUUGUAUCUUCAGCAUUUCUGUCCCUCUCUGCUUCUCUGCAGGUGAUCAGUGCGGCUGCUCCAGCUACUCCUCUCUGCUGUACGCUUUGUCCUCAGCUGUGGCCGUCCUCCUCCUCCUCCUGCUCCUCGCUGGAUGUGUGCUGAUUUACAAAGGCAAAGCACGCCGCGGUGUCAAGUCACACCCUCAGGCCCCCAUCUACGAGGAGAUGACUGGGAUGCAGCCUCUCAGCCGCAAAGCAGCUUCUCACCGGCUGGAAGAAAUGGAGUCUUCAGAAUACAGGAACUGCCCAGUGACGAAAUCCUGCCCUGAGAACUAUUAUGAAAGACCCACCGGGGGCCUCUGCCCCAAGAAAUGAAAUGUUUGCUUUACCUGCCAGCGUCGUGACAACUUGUCAACUCCGCUGCCUCAAACUCACUGGACUAGUGCUAGCUUCAGAAGUUUCUUCAGCUGUUUAUUUUUUUGUUUGUUUUUAUCAGCUAAGGUUCUCUUUUUAUUCUCAUGUAUAUGGAUUGUUUGCUAGAGGGUCAUUCCAUCUCAUAGCAGCAAAUUUAUAGAACUAUUUCUGCUCAACAAUCUCUGAUUUGCCUGAAAAAUUUAUAGCAUAAAAUGUGGAUAUUUCUAUCAAAUAUUUGCGAAUUGCCGAUUGACCCGCUUUCAGCAUGUUUUUUCACACAUUCCAAAGUUUUUCGGCUAUAUUUGACCCAAUAAAGAAAAAAAAUGUCACUGGUAUUUCUCAGAAUACCAUUGAUUCAGAAUCUGCAAUACUGGACAAACAGGUCAAACAAUCUCUAGUUAUCGGUGAGUUUAUAUAUUUUAAAAAUGCAGCUGUUGUGAAAAGUCCAGGCUUUGAGCUCAUAUUAACAAAAACCUGUUCAUGCAUAAGUCAACUACUGACACUUUCUGAAUAUGUAGCUAUAUAAUACAAGAAUAACACAAAACAACACACAGAUAGAAGAUAGCCGGAUCCGGUCCGUGUACGGAUCUGGUAAUUGGAUUUUCCGUUCUGAAACGGGUAUUGAAAAAGUGUGGUUAUUUGAUUUUCGUUUUAAAAUGUGAAAAUAAAAAUUGAA
Long non-coding RNA from Amphiprion ocellaris (clown anemonefish), 1170 nucleotides. NCBI's taxonomy places the organism in Eukaryota, Metazoa, Chordata, Actinopteri, Pomacentridae. The record is from Ensembl.